RNAcentral lists this transfer RNA (49 nucleotides) under Cryptopsaras couesii (triplewart seadevil). RNAcentral's name for it is "tRNA-Met". Lineage: Eukaryota; Metazoa; Chordata; Actinopteri; Lophiiformes; Ceratiidae. The record is from RNAcentral.
CUCCCGGGCCCAUGCCCCGGGAAUGUUGGUUAAAGUCCUCCCUUUACCA